Molecule: ribosomal RNA, 353 nt
Filed under: uncultured bacterium
Lineage: Bacteria
Description: partial 16S ribosomal RNA
Rfam family: Bacterial small subunit ribosomal RNA
Source: RNAcentral
CCUACGGGUGGCAGCAGUGGGGAAUAUUGCACAAUGGGCGCAACCCUGAUGCAGCAACGCCGCGUGGAGGAUGAAGGCUUUCGGAUUGUAAACUACUUUUGUUAGAGAAGAUAGUGAUAGAGUCUAUAGCAUUACCCACGGAUAACCCCGUGCCAGCAGCCGCGGUCAUACGCCGGGUGAACGCGGUACUCGGAAUCACUGGUCGUAAAGAGCGUGUAGGCGAGAUAGCAAGUCAGAUGUGAAAUCCUAUGGCUUAACCAGAGAACUGCAUUUGAUACUGGCAUUCUAGAGUAUGGGAGAGGGGGGUGGAAUUCUAGGUGUAGGGGUGAAAUGCGUAGAGAUCUGGAGGAAUA